UAGGGAAUCUUCGGCAAUGGACGGAAGUCUGACCGAGCAACGCCGCGUGAGUGAAGAAGGUUUUCGGAUCGUAAAGCUCUGUUGUAAGAGAAGAACGAGUGUGAGAGUGGAAAGUUCACACUGUGACGGUAUCUUACCAGAAAGGGACGGCUAACUACGUGCCAGCAGCCGCGGUAAUACGUAGGUCCCGAGCGUUAUCCGGAUUUAUUGGGCGUAAAGCGAGCGCAGGCGGUUAGAUAAGUCUGAAGUUAAAGGCUGUGGCUUAACCAUAGUACGCUUUGGAAACUGUUUAACUUGAGUGCAGAAGGGGAGAGUGGAAUUCCAUGUGUAGCGGUGAAAUGCGUAGAUAUAUGGAGGAACACCGGUGGCGAAAGCGGCUCUCUGGUCUGUAACUGACGCUGAGGCUCGAAAGCGUGGGGAGCAAACAGGAUUAGAUACCCUGGUAGUCCACGCCGUAAACGAUGAGUGCUAGGUGUUGGGUCCUUUCCGGGACUCAGUGCCGCANCUNACGCAUUAAGCACUCCGCCUGGGGAGUACGACCGCAAGGUUG
This 550-nucleotide ribosomal RNA is filed under the name uncultured bacterium. RNAcentral describes it as "bacterial SSU rRNA". It matches the Rfam family "Bacterial small subunit ribosomal RNA", at positions 355 to 896 of the family's 1533-position model. The record is from RNAcentral.